This 834-nucleotide ribosomal RNA is filed under the name uncultured archaeon. Its description in RNAcentral is "bacterial SSU rRNA". It matches the Rfam family "Archaeal small subunit ribosomal RNA", at positions 1 to 836 of the family's 1478-position model. The record is from RNAcentral.
UUCCGGUUGAUCCUGCCGGACCGAUUGCUAUUGGGAUUCGAUUUAGCCAUGCUAGUCGCACGAGUUUAGACUCGUGGCAGAUAGCUCAGUAACACGUGGCCAAGCUCCCCUUCCUCCAACAAUAACCUCGGGAAACUUGGCUAAAAAUGGAUACGGUAUGCACGCUGGAAUGCGACAUACUCCAAACGUUCCGACGCUCAAGGAUGCGGCUGCGGCCGAUUAGGUAGACGGUGGGGUAACGGCCCACCGUGCCAAUAAUUGGGACCGGUGAUGAGAGUCAGAGCCCGGAGACGGAAUCUGAGACAAGAUUCCGGGCCCUACUGGGCGCACCAAGCGCGAAACCUUUACACUGAACUCCUGUGCGAUUGGGGUAUCCCAAGUGCGUAGGCAUAGAGCCUACGCUUUUGUACACCGUAAGGAGGUGUACCAAUAAUGGCUGUGCAAGACCGGUGCCAGCCGCCGCGGUCAUACCUGCCGCUCUAGUGAUGUCCGAUCUUAUUGCGCCUAAAACAUCCGUAGGUUGCCAGCCCAUUUCGUUUGGAAAUCCACCUGCCCAACAGGUGGGCGUCCAGAGAUUACUGUCUGGCUUGGCACCGGAAGGCCCAGAGGGUACGUUGAGGGUAGGAGUGAAAUCCUGUAAUCCUCGACCGACCACCGAUUGUGAAAGCACUCUGAGAGUGACCGAUUCGACAGUGAAAGACGACAGCUACGGGUCUCGUACCGGACUAGAUACUCUGGGUGGUCCUAGCUGUCAACGAUGCUCGCUAGAUGUGGCACCCACCUACAGUGGCUGCGGUGUCUUAGGGCAAGCCGGUAAACUAGCCCACUGGUAGU